GAGACCGGCGCACGGGUGCGUAACGCGUAUGCAAUCUACCUUUUACAGAGGGAUAGCCCAGAGAAAUUUGGAUUAAUACCUCAUAGUAUGUGAGAAUCGCAUGGUUUUCACAUUAAAGUCACAACGGUAAAAGAUGAGCAUGCGUCCCAUUAGCUUGUUGGUAAGGUAACGGCUUACCAAGGCAACGAUGGGUAGGGGUCCUGAGAGGGAGAUCCCCCACACUGGUACUGAGACACGGACCAGACUCCUACGGGAGGCAGCAGUGAGGAAUAUUGGUCAAUGGGCGCAAGCCUGAACCAGCCAUGCCGCGUGCAGGAAGACGGUCCUAUGGAUUGUAAACUGCUUUUAUACAGGAAGAAACAACUCUACGUGUAGAGUCUUGACGGUACUGUAGGAAUAAGGAUCGGCUAACUCCGUGCCAGCAGCCGCGGUAAUACGGAGGAUCCAAGCGUUAUCCGGAAUCAUUGGGUUUAAAGGGUCCGUAGGCGGUCUUAUAAGUCAGUGGUGAAAUCUCCUAGCUCAACUAGGAAACUGCCAUUGAUACUGUAAGACUUGAAUUUUUGUGAAGUAACUAGAAUAUGUAGUGUAGCGGUGAAAUGCUUAGAUAUUACAUGGAAUACCAAUUGCGAAGGCAGGUUACUAACAAACGAUUGACGCUGAUGGACGAAAGCGUGGGGAGCGAACAGGAUUAGAUACCCUGGUAGUCCACGCCGUAAACGAUGGAUACUAGCUGUUCGGAGCAAUCUGAGUGGCUAAGCGAAAGUGAUAAGUAUCCCACCUGGGGAGUACGCAC
This 793-nucleotide ribosomal RNA is filed under the name uncultured Bacteroidota bacterium. Its description in RNAcentral is "bacterial SSU rRNA". It matches the Rfam family "Bacterial small subunit ribosomal RNA", at positions 91 to 887 of the family's 1533-position model. Lineage: Bacteria; Pseudomonadati; Bacteroidota. The record is from RNAcentral.